Molecule: ribosomal RNA, 301 nt
Filed under: uncultured bacterium
Lineage: Bacteria
Description: partial 16S ribosomal RNA
Rfam family: Bacterial small subunit ribosomal RNA
Source: RNAcentral
CAGCAGCCGGGGAAAACGAAGGGGGCUAGCGUUGCUCGGAAUGACUGGGCGUAAAGGGCGCGUAGGCGGAUUGUUUAGUUAAGCGUGAAAUUCCUGGGCUUAACCUGGGGACUGCAUCCGGUACGUGCAGGCUUGAGUGCGGAAGAGGGUCGUGGAAUUCCCAGUGUAGAGGUGAAAUUCGUAGAUAUUGGGAAGAACACCAGUGGCGAAGGCGGCUCACUGGCUCAUACUGGACGCUGAGGUGCGAAAGCGUGGGGAGCAAACAGGAUUAGAUACCCCAGUAGUCCCUGUCUCUUAUACU